This 1377-nucleotide long non-coding RNA is filed under the name Melopsittacus undulatus (budgerigar). Its description in RNAcentral is "lncRNA (ENSMUNG00000011349.2)". Lineage: Eukaryota; Metazoa; Chordata; Aves; Psittaciformes; Psittaculidae. The record is from RNAcentral.
AUGCAGAACGCUGCGGCGAGAAACGCAGUCGUAAACCAAAACUCCUUCCCCACUGACCCCCAGGCGUGGCACCAGCGGCAGGUCACCGCUCUUGCGGGAGCCAGCGACACCGCGCCAGAGCAGGAGCGGAAGGCGGCGCCGGCCGCGGGCAACGGCGCAGUGCGAGCAGAAGGAAGAAAUAAUCUUAUGGAAGAGAACAGAAUGAAAUGGCUGCAGAUGAACCUGACCCAGUAUUUACUUGUGUGUCUAACAGAAAAAAACGUAUAUAUUUUCAUGGAUCUCAGAAGCUUGCAAAUUUCUCUCCGAAGUAUGAAAGAAGAUUCUUUGAUUUGUUGCAUUCUGCAGCAUAUUUUGGUUUGGAUACUGGAACUGGAUGCAAAUGGACUCAGCAAGCCAAAUAAAAGAUGCAGGGAUGCAGGAAUCUUCUGUUUUAGAGAAGAGUGUCCCAUCACUCCUGCUCCUUCUUACACUUACGCCUACAGGUUGCCAUUUCUGAGGUUUCAUUCCAAGAUGAAAUGUGCAUUCUGAAAUGCCCUACUAGUUUCUUGAGAGAUUAAACUGCUUGGUGAUCAAUAAGUGCACUUGCUGUUCAAGGAAAAGACUGACAUGAACCCUGCAGAAAUUCUCAGCAACAGGUCAUGAACAAUUCUAAGAAGUACAUAAAGUAAACUGCAACUAAAGAAAGAAGCAUUGGGAUUUAGCUGAGAUUUCGCCCGUUAAGAGAUGUGGCAGUAUACACUUUGCUUAUGCCAUCUGCACAAGUGAGGAACUCACUCCAGCACUUCAGGCACUGCUAUAUUAAAUAUUGAUGGGUAUUCACUGUAUAGUAGAUUUUCCCUUCCAAGGAACUGAUAAAUAGUUAAUGAAGAGUCCAUCCCGAAUGGGUAAUUCUUUCAGUAACAACAGUUUGUUUGCCCCUUGAGGUUUCAUUUUUUCUCUCUCGUAAAACAAAAUAUAAUUUAACUUAGGUUUAUUAUUUUGUAACCUAAAUAAAAAUACCUAUAUGUAUUGAUUGCUGGGUUCUAAAUAUCUGAAUACCUUUGGAAAUCUUUUCCUGCUCAUAAAUAAACAAUGGACAAGUAGUUAGUCAGCAUCUGUCUGAUGAAUUACAGUGUUGAAGCAUCACGGUCAAUGUGAUCUAGUCAAUAGCAGACAGCAGCAAAAAAGAUACCAGCCUACCAGGCACAAAAUGAGUCUCUCCAUUACUUUUACUUAUUUGUUUCUAGCCACAGUGAAUAAAUAUACUAAAGUUAUGCUAAUACUAGGGCAAGAGUCUUGAUAGUCUUGAUACAUUGAGGCAGCUGUUUGCUUGCUGUGUGUAUCAGUUGUCAGCUGGCUGUUUCUUUGUUAAAAAAUAAAACAAAUGAAAAAAAAACC